CAAGAAAAGAAAACUUAGAUGGCUGCUUAAAUAUACUUAAAGCUAAAUACGGUGCCAAUGUAGCUGUUUUGCGAGAGAAAGACAAUAAUUUCAGAGGACUUUGAAACUUUGGACUUGAAACUGUAGACCUUAAAAUGCUCCCCGAAGAAAUAUCACAUGCCGUUCUUGAUGAGGCUGUUGAUAUCCACAUGAUAAGAAGUUUUUGCACCGAGAAAGCCUUUGAAAAAAUAACCAAUCUAGUUGAGCAGAAACGACUUCAACAAAGUUGGUUUUGUUCUGUGUGCAGUGAAGACACGCAGAAAAAUCAUAUGUCACUUUGUUGCAGUAGAUGCCUUUUAUGGAGACAUAUCCGUUGUGCAGGAUUGACUAAGCGACCUAAAUCAAAACUGUAGUUUUGCAGAGAAUGCUAUCUGUA
This 415-nucleotide long non-coding RNA is filed under the name Sitophilus oryzae (rice weevil). Its description in RNAcentral is "uncharacterized LOC115875482, transcript variant X1". The record is from RNAcentral. Lineage: Eukaryota; Metazoa; Arthropoda; Insecta; Coleoptera; Curculionidae.